RNAcentral lists this ribosomal RNA (1581 nucleotides) under Triticum aestivum (bread wheat). RNAcentral's name for it is "partial small subunit ribosomal RNA". The record is from RNAcentral. Lineage: Eukaryota; Viridiplantae; Streptophyta; Magnoliopsida; Poales; Poaceae.
AUGCGAUCGCGGUCGCGGUCGUGCUCGGAGAUGUCCAUAUCGCUAUCGGCAUCACCGUCGCCGGCGGAGCGGGAGGCGCUGCGCUUGCCGCGUUCACCGCCGGCGGCCGCGCCGCCGCCGCUGGUUGGGGCUCUUAUUGAGUCGCUGUCAUUUCGGAGCUGUGGGUUCGGCCGCGCCGCGUCCUCGGUGUUCGAGAAGGAGGACCUCCGCCUCCGGGUCGCGCUUCCGCAGCGCCUCCGCGACGCUCUGCACGCCGCGCUGAAGGCGAGGGACCCGUCGGCAGGCGCCUUCGCGUUGGAGGAAGCCCCGGGGGUCGGCACCGCGGCCAACCCCUGGUUCGCCCUUGCGCCCGAGGACGCUCCCGAGAACCCCCUGGUCGCGUUCGUCAACCCGCGUAGCGGCGGUCGCCUCGGCCCCGUCCUCAAGUCUCGCCUCCAGGAGCUCAUUGGCGAAGACCAGGUUUUCGAUAUUACGGUCGUUAAGCCAUCUGCAUUUGUGGAAUAUGGAUUGGGUUGUUUGGAGCAACUUGCUGAUUCUGGGUAUCAUAGUGCAAGAUCAGUUCGCAAUAACCUGAGAGUCAUGGUAGCAGGAGGUGAUGGUACAGUAGGUUGGGUGCUGGGAUGCUUAGGAGAACUAUAUGUGCAGAACCGGGGACCGGUUCCUCCAGUUGCUGUCAUACCCCUUGGAACAGGAAAUGAUCUUUCCAGGAGUUUUGGUUGGGGUGCUUCAUUUCCUUUCUCAUGGAAAGCAGCUGCUAAACGAUCUCUCUACAAGGCUAUUUUGGGCACAGUUUCAUGUUUAGACAGUUGGCACAUCGUCGUUUCUAUGCCAGAAGAAGGAGAAGAACAAGAACUGGAUCUUCCCCACUCCCUUAGGCACCUCGGAGAGUGUACAUUUUAUGAUGAUGGCACUGCUGAGGGAGAGUUGGCUGAGACAGUUUGUUGCUUUGACGGCGUCUUCUACAAUUACUUCAGCAUAGGGAUGGAUGCUCAAGUGGCUUACGGAUUUCACCAACUACGUGAUGAAAAGCCAUUCCUUGCCAGUGGUCCUUUAUCUAAUAAGUUAAUUUACGCAGGAUACACCUGCAAGCAAGGGUGGUUCUUUACACAGUGUAUUAGUGACCCUGAACUACGGGGACUGACAAACAUUAUCCGUUUAUCAAUAAAGAAGAUGGACAGUUCUGAGUGGGAGCACAUCCCUGUACCAUCAAGUGUAAGGGCUAUUGUUGCGUUAAACCUUCACAACUAUGCGAGUGGAAGGAACCCAUGGGGAAAUUUGAAGCCUGAAUACUUGGAAAAGAAAGGAUUUGUCGAAGCCCAAUCAGAUGAUGGCCUUCUUGAAAUAUUUGGGUUGAAGCAAGGGUGGCAUGCAUCCCUUGUGAUGGUUGAACUUAUAUCUGCCAAACACAUAGCACAGGCAGCAGCAAUCCGGCUAGAGAUCAAAGGUGGCCAAUGGAGGGAUGCAUAUAUGCAAAUGGAUGGGGAGCCAUGGAAGCAACCACUGAGCACCGAGUAUUCGACAUUCGUUGAUAUCAAGAGGGUGCCUUACCCAUCAAUGAUCAUCAGCGGUGCAGAUCGCUAA